Molecule: ribosomal RNA, 245 nt
Filed under: uncultured bacterium
Lineage: Bacteria
Description: partial 16S ribosomal RNA
Rfam family: Bacterial small subunit ribosomal RNA
Source: RNAcentral
AACGUAGGAGGCGAGCGUUAUCCGGAUUUACUGGGCGUAAAGCGCACGCAGGUGGUUCUGCAAGUUGGACGUGAAAGCUCCUGGCUUAACUGGGAGAGGCCGUUCAAAACUGCGGGACUUGAGGUUGGGAGAGGGGUGUGGAAUUCCCGGUGUAGUGGUGGAAUGCGUAGAUAUCGGGAGGAACACCAGUGGCGAAAGCGGCACCCUGGCCCACACCUGACGCUGAUGUGCGAAAGCGUGGGGAG